GACGAACGCUGGCGGCGUGCUUAACACAUGCAAGUCGAACGGAAAGGCCCUGCUUUUGUGGGGUGCUCGAGUGGCGAACGGGUGAGUAACACGUGAGUAACCUGCCCUUUACUUUGGGAUAACUUCAGGAAACUGGGGCUAAUACCGCAUAGGAGCUCCUGCUGCUUGGUGGGGGUUGGAAAGUUUCGGCGGUUGGGGAUGGACUCGCGGCUUAUCAGCUUGUUGGUGGGGUAGUGGCUUACCAAGGCUUUGACGGGUAGCCGGCCUGAGAGGGUGACCGGCCACAUUGGGACUGGGAUGGGGGCCGGAGUCCUACGGGAGGCAGCAGUGGGGAAUAUUGCACAAUGGGCGGAAGCCUGAUGCAGCAACGCCGCGUGCGGGAUGACGGCCUUCGGGUUGUAACCCGCUUUCGCCUGUGACGAAGCGUGAGUGACGGUAAUGGGUAAAGAAGCACCGGCUAACUACGUG
RNAcentral lists this ribosomal RNA (468 nucleotides) under uncultured bacterium. RNAcentral's name for it is "partial 16S ribosomal RNA". It matches the Rfam family "Bacterial small subunit ribosomal RNA", at positions 28 to 507 of the family's 1533-position model. The record is from RNAcentral.